This 30-nucleotide non-coding RNA is filed under the name Mus musculus (house mouse). Lineage: Eukaryota; Metazoa; Chordata; Mammalia; Rodentia; Muridae. The record is from RNAcentral.
UCAAAAUAAGUGAGACAUUUGGUUGGUAGG